UACGGAGGGUGCAAGCGUUAAUCGGAAUUACUGGGCGUAAAGAGCGCGUAGGUGGUUUGUUAAGUCGGGUGUGAAAUCCCUGGGCUCAACCUGGGAACUGCAUUCGAUACUGGCAGGCUAGAGUACGAUAGAGGGGGGUAGAAUUCCCGGUGUAGCGGUGAAAUGCGUAGAUAUCGGGAGGAAUACCAGUGGCGAAGGCGACCCCCUGGAUUGAUACUGACGCUGAGGCGCGAAAGCGUGGGGAGCAAACAGG
Molecule: ribosomal RNA, 253 nt
Filed under: uncultured bacterium
Lineage: Bacteria
Description: partial 16S ribosomal RNA
Rfam family: Bacterial small subunit ribosomal RNA
Source: RNAcentral